Molecule: ribosomal RNA, 214 nt
Filed under: uncultured Gardnerella sp.
Lineage: Bacteria; Bacillati; Actinomycetota; Actinomycetes; Bifidobacteriales; Bifidobacteriaceae
Description: partial 16S ribosomal RNA
Rfam family: Bacterial small subunit ribosomal RNA
Source: RNAcentral
AAAUAGCUCUUGGAAACGGGUGGUAAUGCUGGAUGCUCCAACUUGACGCAUGUCUUGUUGGGAAAGUGUUUAGUGGCAUGGGAUGGGGUCGCGUCCUAUCAGCUUGUAGGCGGGGUAAUGGCCCACCUAGGCUUCGACGGGUAGCCGGCCUGAGAGGGCGGACGGCCACAUUGGGACUGAGAUACGGCCCAGACUCCUACGGGAGGCAGCAGGU